This 253-nucleotide ribosomal RNA is filed under the name uncultured bacterium. RNAcentral describes it as "partial 16S ribosomal RNA". It matches the Rfam family "Bacterial small subunit ribosomal RNA", at positions 524 to 776 of the family's 1533-position model. The record is from RNAcentral.
UACAGAGACUGCAAGCGUUAUUCGGAUUCACUGGGCGUAAAGGGUGCGCAGGCGGUCGGGUGUGUCAGAUGUGAAAUCCCGAGGCUCAACCUCGGAACUGCGUCUGAAACUACUCGACUAGAGUACUGGAGAGGGUAACGGAAUUCACGGUGUAGCAGUGAAAUGCGUAGAUAUCGUGAGGAACACCAGAGGCGAAGGCGGUUACCUGGACAGUUACUGACGCUCAGGCAGGAAAGCAUGGGGAGCAAAAGGG